Oxyura jamaicensis (ruddy duck) is the source of this 805-nucleotide long non-coding RNA. RefSeq lists it as uncharacterized. The transcript is spliced from 7 exons. The record is from RefSeq and is a predicted model, not a curated record. Lineage: Eukaryota; Metazoa; Chordata; Aves; Anseriformes; Anatidae.
UCAAGUUUCUUCAGAUCUGACAGAGAAGUUUUCCCUGUGCCUCCUGAGCGAUUGCCCUAAGGACCCCGAGGAUGAAGCACAGAAGAGCCCUGAUUUUCUCCCACGGACGGACUCUUACCAGGGACUCUGGAUCUCUCGAUGGAUGAUAUUUCUGGCAGAGAGCAAACAUCUCAUCAAGCAACUAUUUCCAGAUUCACUGUGCGCAGAUGCAGAUUUAGAAAGCAGAUUAAAAAAAAAAAAAAGAAAAAUAACAUGGGAAGGGACUGCAAGAAGAAAACAAAGCAACCAACCGAAAAAAAAAACCCACAAACAGAAACGGACGAAGCAGGCUGUUCGUCAAGCACUGCAGCGUGCCCCAGCCCUAGGUGCAACAAGCCUUAGCUGCCCUGAGAAGCCUCAUCUGGGACCUCUCCCAGGACCUGCCCAGCUGCCCAGGAGCUGCACAGAAGGAUUAUCAUUCACUGGCUUACUCCACAAACAUUGAAGCCAAGUGAGAAGGUGAAUUGGACUUUGCACAGCCUUUUUUGCCUGGAAUGAAACUCCAUCCAAGAAGCUCCUCCAUUUCUGUGUCAGCAAGAAAUCCAGCCGCACUGGGAAGCGUCCUCCUUUUACUUCUAUACAAGGCAAACCAAAGCGCUUCUGCUGUCGCAUUUACUUCUUGGCCCCUGUGAGCUGCAACCAACAGCCACGGCUUUCACUUUAGAAAACUCUGUACCACAUGGGGAGAUGGCUGAUAUUAGGGAUAAAUGCGACUGAAGAUGAGUCAGCUGCAGAGGGAGGAGAGGACUGCUCAAGUAACUUGCUG